UAAGGAAUAUUGGUCAAUGGACGGAAGUCUGAACCAGCCAUGCCGCGUGCAGGAAGACGGCCCUAUGGGUUGUAAACUGCUUUUGCAGGGGAAUAAACCUCUCUACGUGUAGAGAGUUGAAUGUACUCUGAGAAUAAGGAUCGGCUAACUCCGUGCCAGCAGCCGCGGUAAUACGGAGGAUCCGAGCGUUAUCCGGAUUUAUUGGGUUUAAAGGGUGCGUAGGUGGCCUGUUAAGUCAGGGGUGAAAGACGGUAGCUCAACUAUCGCAGUGCCCUUGAUACUGAUGGGCUUGAAUAAACUAGAGGUAGGCGGAAUGUGACAAGUAGCGGUGAAAUGCAUAGAUAUGUCACAGAACACCAAUUGCGAAGGCAGCUUACUAUGGUUUUAUUGACACUGAGGCACGAAAGCGUGGGGAUCAAACA
This 422-nucleotide ribosomal RNA is filed under the name uncultured Mucilaginibacter sp. Its description in RNAcentral is "bacterial SSU rRNA". It matches the Rfam family "Bacterial small subunit ribosomal RNA", at positions 355 to 774 of the family's 1533-position model. The record is from RNAcentral. Lineage: Bacteria; Pseudomonadati; Bacteroidota; Sphingobacteriia; Sphingobacteriales; Sphingobacteriaceae.